UUCUUCAGGGCGGGGUGUAAAUCCCCACUGGCGGUAUAGUCCGCGACCUGUUGCUUGCUUAAGCAGCGGCUGAAUCGGUGUAAUUCCGAUACCAACAGUUAUAGUCUGGAUGAGAGAAGAA
RNAcentral lists this non-coding RNA (121 nucleotides) under chicken gut metagenome. Its description in RNAcentral is "FMN riboswitch (RFN element)". It matches the Rfam family "FMN riboswitch aptamer (RFN element)". Rfam says of the family: The RFN element is a highly conserved domain that is found frequently in the 5'-untranslated regions of prokaryotic mRNAs that encode for flavin mononucleotide (FMN) biosynthesis and transport proteins. The record is from RNAcentral.